UACGUAGGGGGCAAGCGUUGUCCGGAUUUAUUGGGCGUAAAGAGCGUGUAGGCGGCCAGGUAGGUCUGCUGUGAAAACUCGAGGCUCAACCUCGAGACGUCGGCGGAAACCAUCUGGCUAGAGUCCGGAAGAGGAGAGUGGAAUUCCUGGUGUAGCGGUGAAAUGCGCAGAUAUCAGGAGGAACACCUGAGGCGAAGGCGGGUUGCUAGGCUGAUACUGACGCUGAGUGCGCGAAAGCUAGGGUAGCAAACGGG
This 254-nucleotide ribosomal RNA is filed under the name uncultured bacterium. Its description in RNAcentral is "partial 16S ribosomal RNA". It matches the Rfam family "Bacterial small subunit ribosomal RNA", at positions 524 to 776 of the family's 1533-position model. The record is from RNAcentral.